Molecule: ribosomal RNA, 157 nt
Filed under: uncultured bacterium
Lineage: Bacteria
Description: partial 16S ribosomal RNA
Rfam family: Bacterial small subunit ribosomal RNA
Source: RNAcentral
UGAGGAAUAUUGGACAAUGGGCGCAAGCCUGAUCCAGCCAUGCCGCGUGCAGGAUGAAGCAUCUAUGGUGUGUAAACUGCUUUUGUACGGGAAGAAACACCUCUUCGUGAAGGGGCUUGACGGUACCGUAAGAAUAAGGAUCGGCUAACUCCGUGCC